Long non-coding RNA from Girardinichthys multiradiatus, 2543 nucleotides. RefSeq lists it as uncharacterized. NCBI's taxonomy places the organism in Eukaryota, Metazoa, Chordata, Actinopteri, Cyprinodontiformes, Goodeidae. The record is from RefSeq and is a predicted model, not a curated record. The transcript has 5 exons.
CUAUCUAUCUAUCUUGGUCAGGCAUAACAUUAUGACCAAUGACAGAGAAGGUGAAUAGCUGGUUAAUUCUUCAUCUUGGCACCUGCUAGUAGGUGAACAAUUUUAUAUCUCGUGUUUUUAUUAAAAAGAGCUGAUGUCCAUAUGAUUUAGUAUUUACCUCUGGACAAAAAAGUGAUUUAAUUGCAUUUAAGACCACAAUAAAUAACUGUAAAUAUCCUUAUGGUUUUAAACAUCCAUAUGUCCACAUUAAGACUUAUGGAUAUAGACUCAGACCCCUAAAAAAGGUGACUUAAAACAACUAUAAGAGGAUGUCAAUUACCUUGUUAUGGAUGUAUGAUUCUGUGGCCUUUUCUAAUCAUCUCUUUGCUGCCCUAAUUAAAUAUAUCUGCCGCACCGCUCACUGCUACAGCUUACACAACAUAACUGUUGAUUUCACAUAAGAUGCAACACAUAGUCAAGGAUAAACUGAUACAAGAGGAUAACCUUUAAGAGGGUUAAGAACAGGCAUAGAUAAAAGCAGGACUUACGCUCCAUUCUUUGCUCCUCUCGGUUCAUCUCUAAGAUGGGUUGAGGGGGGCCCGGUACCGAAGGUAAAUGUCACUCUGUAUCUGUUCAACUGUAUACUCUGUACACUGAUCAUUUUGGCAUUAAAUCUUGAUUUUAUACCUAACCAUUUCUCAUUAUUUCACAAGGUAAAUACUUUGCUGGUUUUACUGGUUGGGUCUCGGAACUGGAGAGAAACGGACCCGGUGGUGCACAGGGAGGAAAGAGAGUAAAAACUCCCAUUUUACAACAACCUGGUCUAAGUUGCAAAAUGUCUAAACGAGAACAAAAAGCAUUUAGAUUCUAACAAAUGCAGUGUACAAAAUUCACAACCAACUACUGCCUUUGGUGUGUAUUAUAAUACCAUUCAAAUAUUUUUCUUCUUGCAGUAUUUUCCAUGAGUCAUGUCUGCUUUAAAGGAUCCACUUCUCGCUUGGUGGACUCUGGAGGAACCAAAAAGCUCCGUAAACGUCUUAGCAGCACAAACAUACAGGCCUUGACUUGGGUGAGCAAUAGCUUCACCGCCCACAUAGAUACGUCAGUCUUUUUCUCCUUGAGAGGCUAUGCUUGUCAACUAAAGAGGACUAAAAUAUUGUGUUUGUACACUGCUGCAAAAACAGCAAUGAUAAAAAAAUGAAAAAAGUCCACUAAUGGCCACCCCAAAAGAAAAGAAACUGAACUAUACAUUUCUCUGAUGAAACCCUGAGCUGGAGUGAAAUUAUCAUUAACCAUACAGAAGACUUUAAUCAGUCAUCUGGACCUUUGUGGGAUUGCUAAGGAGGUCAUGGGAGUUUGGUUUUCCACUCUCUCUCUUUGCUGAUCUGGAGAAGGCUUAUGACCAUGUCCCCCCAGGUUUUUUUCAGGGGGGAAACCGCGGGAGUAUGUGGAACCUGCUUGUAAUGAAUAUCCGGUCAUUGUAGACUCACUGUAGACUCAGAUUUCUGUAAAUUUAUGGUGAAUUUUAACAGUAUUUUACUGUAUUUCAUAAUAACAGGAAAAUACAGUUAAAUUACUACACUUAGCAUGUUAAUCUACAGUUAAUUUAGCUGGUUUAGCAGUAACAGUAAAUAAUUGUAAUUCAACCCAAAUUUAACAGCAAAUAGAAAUCCUUUACAAGUCGCGCCAUUAUCUGUCAGAAUCUUUUCAAAUGCUGUUGGCUGCUGGUUCUGUUCUGAUGGUAUCAUAUCAUUAACAAUCAAUCGACUGAGAGGACUCCUUUUUGAAGGACAUUUGUCUGUGAGCUUGUCUUUGGAUAACGCACUUUCCCUGCUUCAGUCCACAAGUUCAGAAGGCGUUUGCUACACCUGCUGAUGUUGAGAGGAAUUUCACUCUACCAGCCAGUCCUCGGCUCAUUUUGCUUGGUGAUCAGAUCCACACACUCUGCAAGUGGAUGAUCAGUAUUGAGAGCCAUGUGAUUUGUCAGAGCAUUCAGCCAACAUUUCAGUCUGGACUUGCGGCUUUCUUUGCGGUGUUCUAUGUUUUCAACCUCCAGUAUCAGGACGAGGCCUCCUAGACCCUGGAAUUCGUUCAAAGACGGUUCAUCGGCAUAAAUCCAGACAGAGGGAGCAAAGCCACCUGUGGAAAGGUCAUGUCUAAGAGGACUGGGAAGGUGGUUCAGAAAAGGCCCAUGACUGUCAACCCGCAUGUUGCCACACUGUUAAAGAAAUUGCUGGACUUUGAGUUGGACUUCGUCUAGGUACUAAUCAUUCCUGUGGAGGAUACCAAUCAAGUACUGCAGUUAAGCCAUUUAUGUGUGUUAGCUCUCUCUUUCUACAUUUUACUUUCCCUGUUAUUAACACUUGGACUUACAAAAGACUUGUGUCAAAGCUAGACUGUGAUGCAUUUCUCUUAUACUGUUGUUGAACCUGUUAUUACAGCUGGAUUUCUUCUCCAUUACACUGUUGUUGCUGCCAUGCUACUUAAGAAUUUCAUGGUUGUUGCUGCUAUUUUACUACAACUUUAUACUAUUGAAGAACAUUUUUAUUCACCAACUAUACUGA